RNAcentral lists this long non-coding RNA (617 nucleotides) under Homo sapiens (human). RNAcentral describes it as "HSALNT0373252". The record is from RNAcentral. Lineage: Eukaryota; Metazoa; Chordata; Mammalia; Primates; Hominidae.
CUGGGAAAGGCACAGGAGCUGAGCUGGGCCUGUGAAUGAAUAGAAUCUGGACAGGGAUGAGGCAAGGAGACAGGAGUGAUCUCUCCACCCUGGGCCCAGCCUACCACAGAAGUUCCUGAAUAUCCAGGGAGAGGCAAUUUCUUCUGUAUCUCCAUCCUAAUGAUGUGUCUGCUUGGCAUUGGUCUGGUUCCUUCAGGACCUCAGAAGCUGUAUUGGUUCAAUGAAUGCUAAAUAUCCCAGGAGCCUGAUCUUUUAAGAGUUCAAAGAGUUCAUGGGACACAUAUGGGUAGCCCAGCACUGAUUAUACCCAUGAAAUUAAGAAGCUUGUCCCUUGUCCCUAAAGCAAUUGUCCCAGGUGUUAGUGUGAUCUCAGGACCCAGUACUUAGUCUUAUCCAAGACUAUAGGAGCAGUUCAACAGUGCAGCAAGAAGGAGGAGCUCCCACCUCAGGAUGUGUCCAUGUUUUCCAGUUGUCUGCCAGUUGCCGGUUGUCUGACCUGUGAAUAGAAGCUCAACUGAGAGUACUCUCCAAUCUUCCAACUGGCUGUUUGCCUGAAGCUGAUAAUGGAUGAUGAUAGUAACUCAGAUAAAGCUCCCAAUAAAUCUUCAUUAUCCUCA